AAAAAAAAAAAAAUUAAGAUAUUUGUCUCUCGCACGCGUGCGUUGCAACUAAGUUGGUUAAAUAUGGCGGUUGAUGUGCGUUAUACCAAUGGAGACACCGUAGAAAAUAAACUAACUCAAGCUGACAGCGAUAUGGAAGACGAUGACAAAGAAGAUAAAAGCAAAACGGAAUCAUUUCAUAAAAAGAAAAAGAAAAAGGAAAAAAAAAAGCGCAAACAUAAAAAAAAGAAAGAGAAAUCUGAUAAUGAUGUUUUAUCUGUUCUUAUUGAUAUGGCUGAUUUAGAUCAAUUGGAAAAUCGCAAAAGGCUGUUACAGCAGCAACUAGAAGAAACAACUAAUUUCAGUAGUGUAAUUGCUGUUUCAGAUGCUAACAGUGAAUAUUCAGAAAUAAUGAAAGAUCUAACAGCAAAUGAUUCUGAAGUUGCUCGUUUAGUUGAGGACUGUAAAAAGGAAGCUUUAAAGCCAGAUAAUGAAAGUAAAAAUGAAAAAAAAAGUCAUUCUGUUUAUAGUUCAUCGAGUAAAAAUGAUAAAAAAGAUGAUAAGAAAAGUUAUGACAGUCGUUCAGAUGGAUCAAGAAAAGACCGAUAUCAUAGCAAUGAUUCUAGAGAUAUGGUUGACUCCAAAAUUCAUUCAAGGACUGAUACUAGACGAGAUUCUGAAAGAAGAGAAGACACAUAUCGCCGUGAAAAAACACACAGAAAGGAAGAAAGUGAAAAACGUGAUUCAGACAGAAGACGAGAUGAUUCUAGAUUUGAUAAAUCAGAUAAUCGAAAAGAAGAGCCUGUGCGCAAUCGUAGCAAUGAGAGAUCAGAUUUCAGAGUAAAAAGUAAUCAAGUUCGGUCUAAUGAUGAUUUUGAUAGAUUAGAUGAAAGAAAGGUUUCUGAUCGUUCUUCUGUUGAUAAAAGGUAUAGAGAUGAUGGGAGAGGUAGAGAUGUUAGAGAUAGAGAUGUUAGAGAUAGAGAUGGAAAAGAUAGAAACAGAGAUAGAGAAGGUAGAGAUAGAGAGGGAAGAGAUAGAGAUGGAAGAGAUAGAGAGGGAAGAGAUAGAGACGGAAGAGAUAGAGACGGAAGAGAUAGAGAUGGAAGAGAUAGAGAUGGAAAAGAUAGAGAUGGUAGAGAUAGAGAUGGUAGAGAUGGAAGAGAUAGAGAUGGAAGAGAUAGAGAUACUGGUCGUGACAUAUAUGGUAGAGACAAACCAAGAAGUUUUGAAAGAUAUAGAACCAAUGAUGAAGCACAUAAGCAGUUUUCUUCAAGAGAAAAUCGUUUACGGAAUGAAGAGCAUGAAAAAAAGCAAGAAUCAUCUGAGGAUGAAAUCAACCUUGAUGACUUUGCUGAAAAAAUGGAAGUUGACGAAGAAGAACUAAUAGCAAAACGUCGAGAAGAGCGUAAAGCUUUAAUUGCAAAGCUAAAACCACCUACUCCUGAGCCACCCACUCCUGAGCCAGUUAAGGAACCUAUAAAAAUACCAUCACCUACAAUUGAUGUAAUUAAAAAAGAAUUAACCGAUAAUAGUGAUAGUGAUUCAAGCGCCUCAAGUAACAACUCUGACUCUGAUUCAUCUUCUUCCGAUUCUAAAAGUGAAAAAGAGCAGCAAAAGUCUCACGUUUUGAAAAGAAAGCAAGAAAUUGAAAAAGAAAAGUUUGAAAAACGUAAACAUAAAAAACUUAUGCAACAUUUGCAAAAGGAAAGAAUAAAAUUGAGUGAAAAGUACAAAACAUUAAGUAAAAAUAGUAAAGAUCGUGAAAAAUUAAAGGGGAAAAUAAAAGAAUUAGAUAAACAAUUGCAAAAAGAAAAAAUUAAAGAAGAUAAUAGAGUUAGAAAAAGAGAGAUUGAAAAGCUCAAAGAUCGAGAAAAAGAAUUAAGAGAAAGAUUAAGACUCAGAGAGAAAAAACGUGAACAAGAAAAAGUCUCGGAACAAAAAAAUAAAUUAGAACCAGGAAAAAAAAAUUCUGAAUAUAAAACAAACAAAUAUACUUCUGAAAAUUCGGACAAAACAAAUAAAUAUAGUUCAGAAAACCCUGACAAAACAAGCAAAUAUAAUUCAGAAAAUAAACAUGAAAUUAAUAUAAAAAGAAAUAAAGAAAUUAAUUCUGAUGAAGUACCUGAUCCUAAAAAAGCUAAAAAUGAAAUAGCAGAAAGAUUAGUUAGUAAACCAGAAGAUGCGACUAAUGAUAACAAUGAAAGCUCUGACGAAGAUAAAACAAUGGGUAUGGAUAUGUUUGCUGAAGAAGCUAAUAAUAUGUUUUCAGAGAAAUUUGAGAGCCCAAUCGGAAGUGGCGGAAAUCGAAUGCAAGCUAGACCAGAAGGUAAUAAUCCAAAUCUUACAGAUAACUGGGAUGAUGCUGAAGGAUAUUACAAAACUCGUAUUGGAGAGAUUUUAGAUAAGCGUUACAGUGUGUAUGGAUAUACAGGGCAAGGUGUAUUUAGCAAUGUAGUCCGCGCACGUGAUUCUAUGAAAAAUAAUCAAGAAGUUGCAAUCAAGAUUAUUAGGAGUAAUGAAGUGAUGAACAAACAAGGCCGCCAGGAGAUGAAAAUUUUAGAACGUCUCAAUUCAGCUGAUCCAGAAGACAAAUACCAUUGCUUACAGAUGUUCAGACAUUUUUAUCACAAGCAACAUUUGUGUUUAGUUUUAGAGAGUCUAAGCAUGAAUCUCAGAGAAGUACUGAAGAAAUAUGGUAAUAAUGUCGGUCUACACAUUAAAGCUGUACGCUCAUAUGCUCAACAACUUUUACUUGCAUUGCGAUUGCAAAGAAAAUGUGGGAUCAUACAUGCUGAUAUUAAACCUGAUAAUAUAUUGGUUAAUGAAUCAAAACUUGUUCUGAAGCUUUGUGAUUUUGGAUCAGCAUCUACUAUAAGUGAAAACAAUAUUACACCAUAUUUAGUUAGCAGAUUUUAUAGAGCUCCUGAAAUAAUAAUUGGACGUCCCUAUGAUACUAUGAUUGAUCUGUGGUCAGUUGCAUGUACUUUAUAUGAACUUUAUACAGGAAAGAUAUUAUUUGCGGGCAAAACAAACAAUGAAAUGUUAAAACUUAUGAUGGAUGUUAAAGGGCGAAUGCCAAAUAAACUUAUUAAAAAGGCAAUGUUUCGAGAUAAACAUUUUGAUGAAAAUUUUAACUUUAUGUAUAUUGAAGUAGACAAAAUAACUCAGAAGGACAAAGUUACAUUCAUAAACUAUACAUCUGCUACAAAAGACUUAAUGGACAUGUUGGUUGGAAAGCAAAAGCUUAAUGAAGAUAUGAAACGUAAAGUUGGUCAGCUUCGAGAUUUAUUGGAUCGCAUGUUAUGUUUGGAUCCUUCGAAAAGGAUUCCAGUAAGCCAGUGUUUAACACAUCCAUUUAUUUCAGAAAAGAUGCUAUAAAUAAUUUUCAAAAAGCUUUUCAACAAUAAGACUUAAAAACAUUGGAUGAACUGUAGAAAUCUCGACAGCUGUGUUCACUGAAAGAACUCCAAAGAGUUUGAUGGAAUUUUUAUGAUGGUUAUGGCUUCAAACAUGAAGAAUCCUAAUGAAGAAUCUUUGGAGAUCAGCAUUCUAGUUUAUUCGGCACUCAAAAUUGUCAAAAGUUCACCAAAAUGACGAUCUUAUUCCGCUUUUGAAAUAAAAUUAUAUAUACACACACUACUGAGAUAUGUCUCAUAAGAAAAGUAGCAGAAUCUAAAAUUGUUAAUCCUUCUGCAAGAUAAUGUGUAAAAAGAAAAAAAAGCGACCGUUAAAACAGAUCAUUAUUGAUUGUGGUAUCACGAAAUGUUUAAUAGCUUAGUGAAUAAGGCUUAUUUUUUACUUAGUAACGAGUUACUUUCAUUAAAAAUUAUAAAAGUAUUUGAACUUCAUUGGUUUGAAUGAAUCAUAUAAUACACGCAAUUUUACGAUACUGACACCGGUACCGCUUGACGUUAGAUUCAAGUUGCAAAACUGGCUUGAAUCUAACUGACGUUAGAUUCAAGCUGCAAAACAUCAAGAUGCAAAACUGCAUAUACAACAUGCAAGAUACGCAACCUAAACACGCAUUCCAAUAAACGAUCAAAGACAAUGAAUAAAAAAGAAUUGGUCUGGAAUUCCUAGAGAACAGCAGCAGCUAGCUAAAAACCAUGACAGCACAAGAGUAAAUUCAUCAAUUAAAGCAGUCAUUGCUGAAAUUAAAGUUGGCUUUUUUCAGUUUAGUCAGUUGAUACUAGUACUGCUGCAGCAUGCUGCUGAUAACAUUAUUUAAACAUACAUUAGUAGUAUCAACUCAUCACUUGAUGACCUUUAUAACUCCACGGUUGAAAAUUGUUUUUCUUGUACUAAAGACUGCCUUGCCAGCGAUUGCAACCUGCAAACGUUAAUUUAGUGUAGCAAGCCAAGUGGUUAUACCAAAUCGAAUUAAUAUAGUAAAUAAACAUUUUCAUCAAUUAAAAACUAUUGUGAACCUGUAUGUUGUAAUAAACAUUAACAUGUUGAUUGAAUCAAUAUCAAGUUUUAAUCCGAGAUGAUUUAAAAACCUGUUUCUUGUUGUA
Molecule: RNA transcript, 4493 nt
Organism: Hydra vulgaris (swiftwater hydra)
Lineage: Eukaryota; Metazoa; Cnidaria; Hydrozoa; Anthoathecata; Hydridae
Gene name: serine/threonine-protein kinase PRP4 homolog
Source: RefSeq, a predicted model, not a curated record